AAUUAUGAAUAUCGUUACGUUUUGUUAUAAAGAAAUUUGACCGGAUAUAACGCCAAACUUACUCCUCACAAAAAUCAUUAACCCCCAAAGCCAACCACAACUUCUCGUUAAAAAUCCCCAUCAUACCCUCCGGUACAAACUCCUUCCUACAAAGCGGACACGUCUUCUGGUCAUGAUCCAUCCAACGGUCCACACAGCUCCGGUGAAACACGUGUCGACAAUUCAUCAACAUCCUGAUCUCGUCGCCGGAAUCAAACUCGUAAAGACAAACAACGCACUUCUCCGGCGGUUCGACUAUCUCGGAAAACUUCACUACCGGUAAUAUCUCCCGGAUUAUCGCCGCUGACACGGAACACAAUCGGGUAUUCUCUUCACCGGGUCGGGUCGGGUAAGGAAAAUCGGGUUCGAGGAAAUCGGGGAGACCGAGAAUUGUG
RNAcentral lists this unclassified non-coding RNA (434 nucleotides) under Hevea brasiliensis (rubber tree). Lineage: Eukaryota; Viridiplantae; Streptophyta; Magnoliopsida; Malpighiales; Euphorbiaceae. The record is from RNAcentral.